UUAUUCGUCCCGCCCUUGUACACACGCCGUCGCUCUACCGAUUGAAUGGCUCAGUGAGGCUCCGGACUGGCCCAGAGAGGUGGGCAACUACCACUCAGGGCCGGAAAGUUGUCCAAACUCGGUCAUUUAGAGGAAGUAAAAGUCGUAACAAGGUCUCCGUUGGUGAACCAGCGGAGGGAUCAUUA
This 185-nucleotide ribosomal RNA is filed under the name Scedosporium boydii. RNAcentral describes it as "partial 18S ribosomal RNA". It matches the Rfam family "Eukaryotic small subunit ribosomal RNA", at positions 1643 to 1831 of the family's 1831-position model. The record is from RNAcentral. Lineage: Eukaryota; Fungi; Ascomycota; Sordariomycetes; Microascales; Microascaceae.